Molecule: ribosomal RNA, 465 nt
Filed under: uncultured bacterium
Lineage: Bacteria
Description: partial 16S ribosomal RNA
Rfam family: Bacterial small subunit ribosomal RNA
Source: RNAcentral
GACGAACGCUGGCGGCGUGCUUAACACAUGCAAGUCGAACGGAAAGGCCCUGCUUGCCGGGUACUCGAGUGGCGAACGGGUGAGUAACACGUGGGUGAUCUGCCCUGCACUUCGGGAUAAGCCUGGGAAACUGGGUCUAAUACCGGAUAGGAGCCAUUUUUAGUGUGAUGGUUGGAAAGUUUUUUCGGUGUAGGAUGAGCUCGCGGCCUAUCAGCUUGUUGGUGGGGUAAUGGCCUACCAAGGCGGCGACGGGUAGCCGGCCUGAGAGGGUGGACGGCCACAUUGGGACUGAGAUACGGCCCAGACGCCUACGGGAGGCAGCAGUGGGGAAUAUUGCACAAGGGGCGCAAGCCUGAUGCAGCGACGCCGCGUGGGGGAUGACGGCCUUCGGGUUGCAAACUCCUUUCGCUAGGGACGAAGCUUUUUGUGACGGUACCUAGAUAAGAAGCACCGGCUAACUACGUG